UGGAUUUCCUAAUAAACACCAGAUCAGACUCACGACCUGCAAUCUCUCAUCUUCAUCUUCAACCCCAAUUUUCAGUUUUUGUUCUUCCACCUCAGUUUUGACGAUGAAAUCCUAAGCUCUGUUCUCAAGUAACUAUCUCUCUUCAGCUUUUGUUCUUCCACCUCAGUUUUGACGAUGAAAUCCUAAGCUCUGUUAUCAAGAUUUGCAACAUGAGCAAAUGGACAAUGACUUGGCGGAUUUAGAGGAUGAAAUGGCUCAUGGUGCAUUGGUGACUUGGCUCAAUAUAAAAUCCUAUUCGAUCUGUGAUCUUCGAUUUUGAGAUUCGGUUUGGUUGUGUUUUGGUUUGAGCUGUGGUUACAAAUCUGUGAUAUUUGAUUCGGUUAUCAUAUUAAUUGAGGUAUGUUUUUUCAAUUGAA
This is a non-coding RNA of Prunus mume (Japanese apricot), 416 nucleotides long. The record is from RefSeq and is a predicted model, not a curated record. Lineage: Eukaryota; Viridiplantae; Streptophyta; Magnoliopsida; Rosales; Rosaceae.